ACACUCUAAAAUGGAGGUAGGGAAAGAGCUGGGUAGGCAGAUGGGAGACUUGGGCUCACCAAGGUCAGGUUUCUCCUAACAGAAAGACCACAGUGGAACAGAAUACAAAGACCACAGAUGCAAGGCUGAGCAUCAAACAAAGGGCGAGACAUCUGUUAUCCAGAGCCCAGACCUUUCUGAAAAGGGACAAACUUCAACACAGUGACCUUAACCUGAAUGGAAGAAAGGGCACGUGAAGAGCACAUUGUCACUGAAUGCCUUACCCAGGAGUGGGCUGGGGGCUGAUUUUCUUAACCCUUAGAUCCUUAUAAAACCUGAGACAACUGCCACUCACUGGCAAUCCUCUCUUGGGACCCCACCCAUGCAGGAGUUCCGCUUUUUUUAUAUUGUUUUUGUAAUUUCUGACACUUUGCCCUCACCCUUCCACUAUUUGUGUCUGAAAUUCUUUUAAUGGAUUAACAAGGCAAAGAACCCACUCAACUCCAUGGUAUGUGUUACAAAAUAACUGUAGACUAAUUAUGUCAGGAAACUAGACUGAUGUGGGAAGUGCUAUUACCUACUGCCCAUCCCCACAUCCUGCCUGUCCCCAGAAUGGGGCUGCAGUUGAACCCUUAUGAGAUCACACAGGGAAGAUCCUUUCAGACCUCACUAAGAAGAAUGAAUUCUCCACCUUGAAAAUGUGAAGGCAGCACCCAAUAUUCUGUACAGCUGCUGAAACUAAUUCUGACCUCCACGCAGGAAUUUCCUUCUUCUAGGACAACACCCUCUCCUCAGUGCCAUUGCCAUACUUUCCAGGCAGCAGACGCAAUCCUGCUUAUGACAGAAAAAACAGAGAUCCAAAGCGCAAUUCAUGGAUAAGUGGACAGGCCCUCAUGAAGUACUCCUCAUCGCUCAGACAUUUCUAACUCUCAUUCACCACAUCUGAGGAGGAAAGACACCACCAGAAGAUGAUUUGCCCUUCUCAUCCUGGGAACCCACAGUCCCUGGUUAGUGGACCACCACUCUAUAAAUCUCACAUGUCUGUUCAGGAGACAACCCUAGAUGGAAUAUAUCAAGCUUUCAUGUGUUCAAUGAUUGUUCCUCUUGACCUUCUCUGUCCCUCCCUAAAACCAGGUCAGAGUCCUUUCCACCUGGUUACAAAUUGGGCUCUCUGUUUUUGAUCUCCAUCAUCAGGUGGAUGGUUGAGACUGUGGAGAGCUCCCUCUGCUGGACACUGACUAAGGAAUUUGGAAAAUUCAGGCGGCCAAUCAAAGUACAUGGCAGCAGGUCCCUAACUGGCUCAGAUCAAGGGGGAUAGCUGCCAUGCUCAACCCAAAAUGCCUCCUUCCCCCUUCUAACCAGGAGAGUCCUGAGAUGUUCAAAAUCAAGGCUGAGAAGUGAAAACCUGUCUCUUCUAGAAAGAGAAGGAUUUGACACCACUCCAGACAAAAGCCAUGGAGUAGGUGAUGGAGCCAGAUGGCUACUGGCAGGAGAAGCUGAAUGGGUGAGAGAUCCACCUCAUGUACUGUGCACUACAUGCAUUUUGUGGAACUCCCCACCGAGUAGAUUGGGCUCCCCAAAAGUUGUAGAAUGCAACCAUCACGCUGAAGGAGACCAUGUGCCUUGGCCUAUAGAUACAUUCUUGGGAAAUGAAGAAUCUCCUUUUCUGGCCUACUCAGAAUGUUUCUUGAGUUGAAGGGAUGCUGGCCCCUGAUCUAGUGCCCCAACUGGAAGUGUAAAGGGAAGACUCACACUUGCUGUACGACCUGCCACCUGUCACACACUUAAUUGGUUUUGAAGGGUCUGCAUCAUCAGUCACAUCCACCAGGGGCCCCACUGCUCAUAUUUUUCCCUUUCCGAGGUGGCCUCUUCUUUUUGAUUCUUUGUGUAGUUUGUGAGUCUUGGGCCAAUCACCAUCAGGAACAUCUUCCACAGAGAGUGCAGGCAUGGCAUCAGAACACCUGGGCCAGGAAGAACAAGAAAAGAAAACUCACUUUUGUUUUGAACCUAGGGAAAAAUUAAUUCAAGGGUGUAACAUAUUCUUGAGGCAUUUGUGUCAUUCUUCUUUGACAAAGCAGGAGUGCUUCCUGAGUACAUCUUCCCACUUUCUGGAAUUGGGAUGGUAGUAGAGUGUUUUCUGUGUGAACAAAAAAAAAACUUAAUCCGAUGUUAGUGUUAAGGAAAUAUUGAGAGGUUUUCAAUAUGUGGACCAAUGCAUGUGGAGCUCUGUGGUCAUCAUCCCCAUGCUCACAGCCCUCCCAGGGAAGUCUAAACAGAAAAUGACUAUAGCUCUCAGCCCCCAGAGUAGAUGGAGGUCCAAGGGCCAACCACUGCUCCUGAAAUUGGGUCAUUGGAAAUUCAUACCAUCAGCUAAACUGAGCAGGGGCCUCUUCUGGAGACUGUAGCUGGGUAGGAAAGCUGACACCGUCACUGCUGACUGGCUGGAGGUGCAGGGUUGUCCCUCUAUAUAACUAAGAGUCCUCAUGGGAAGAACCAAUCUCCUGGAGCUCCUCACACCUCCACACAUCUCCCUCCAGUUAGCACACCAGCUGCUCAGGAGAAAGGUCAGACAAAGUUUCCCUCAUGUUUCCAGUGGGGAUAGAGGAAACUGAGGCAUUGGCUUCUAGGUCCACCUGGAUCCAUCCUCCUUUCAUGAAUACAACAUAUUCCCUAUGAAGAAACCAUCUGAGCAGAGCCUAACCAGCCUGGGUUCCCUGGCAUGUGGGAAGGGAAGGCUCCAAAUGUAGUCCCAUCUGGCCUUUUAUUGGGGAGAAUGGAAAUAACUUCCUCCAGUUUCCUCUGCACUUCCAGUCACAUCUGAAGAGGAGGAAUGAGAAGGACUUGAGAAAGUCACAGCCCAGGGUCUCAGGCUCAAUUACUGACUGGUCUCAGGAUUAAUGAAGGCUUCCUCCCUCCAUACCUCACCCUGCAACUCUAGGACCUCCAUAUACUAAUGGCAGUUUUCACAAGACGGAAUUGUAAGACUCAGACCUUAUGAAGAUAUCCUUAGGAAAACCAAAGUCACAAGCCCUUAAAAAAUACAGCUCAUCAUCACACCACAACUCUGAGCCAAUAAAAUAUAAACUAGAUCUAGAGGCCUACAAGCCUCUGUUCCUUUUCGCCAGUACAUCAUGUCCACAGCAGGACUAAAUGUGAAAAGUGCACUAACAAAAGGCAUCAUUUGAAGAGACAGAGGCAGCAGUAGAACCAUCCUGAAACAUGCAGUGAAGAGAGCCUUGGACAACUGAGAAAGAGAAACAAGUGUGGUUAAUAUGCUAGGGCUCUAAAGGACACAUAGGGCACAUGUGAUAUGAACAGAGAGAAUGUGCAGUGUGGAUAGAGCAAGCCUGGGAGCCAGGUUCUGAUUUGGCAGAAAUAUUGCAAUGGUAAGGCUAGGACUUUAAAAUCACUAAGAUCAAUAUGUGCCUGGUUGCAAAGUGAAAGACAGCGUGCAAGAACUGAUGAGGGAUGGAAAGGGGACAGGGCAAACUCUAGUGAGAAUACAAACAUGAAGGUUAGUUGUUAAAAAUGUCCUCACAGGAGAGGGCCUUCCAUACAUGGGCUUCUGCAUAGACUGGGCAGUGGCCAAGGAUUCAAAAGAGUCAUUUGAAGUGAACUGAACAAACUCUGAGAAUACAGAGAAGCAAUACAGAAACCUGCCAGAGCAGGUGAGCAAGAGAUUGCACUAAGUUUCCAAAAUCACUCCAGAAUUCUGCCCCUGAGAAUUACAGUGAAUGAGCUCCAAAACAUACAGAGCCUCCUAGCAGAAUUGAUCACCCAGAGGGAAGAACCAGUGAGCUCCAACACAGUUCACUUAAAUGCCAAAGAGAGCAGAAACAGAGGAAGAAGAUGAAGUAGGAAUAAAGAAAGUGUAGGAGACUUGGGGAAGCAACAUGAAGGGCCAUCUCUUAAGAUAAAUUGGUUGUCUUCUCAGCAAAUGUUAAAACUACACUGAAACUACCAGAGUAUAAGAACAGUAGUGAAUAAACUGGCCAUAUUUCAAUGUGGAAAACAAAGUAGAAAAUCUUCAUGAUCAUUAGAACCCUAUGCAUGUUACAUUAGCAAAAUCAUUGACCCAAAACAUGCAUGCUAAAGAAUUUCUACAACACAGUUCUCUUACUCUUCAAUAAUCUGCUCGUGUCCAUCAGAAAGAUGCUGCAUCCUUAAUGACUUCUUGCCACAGUCCCUUCAAUGACUAUAAGUGAACUGAAAGACAAAAUACAUGAAAAAAAUGAGCCUGAUCUCAAAGUCCAUUAAGCAACUGAUGAGCAGUAAGGACAGCCUCCUGGACCCACCUCUGCCAAUCAUGGCUAAAAAGCCUCCUGUAAAAAGGAGAAACAGACUACAACAACAUUCAGAAGAGUGGUGACGUGUUGCACAAUGGGAUACAUAAGCUGGCUUUCUAAAUAACUGUCCUUGCUCCUCAGUCACCACAGAAUACACUAAGAGGAUUAUUCUGCACCUAUUUUAUAAAUUCCAUGUGGGAAAAAUAAUACUACUACCAAAAGUGGGGGUGCGGGGAAUGCAGUGCCAAGGAGCAGGCCUUGGUUGGGUCAUCACCUCUAGGAUUCCAGCUCUCCUUUAGCUUGACUUCCAUCUCUUCACAUUUCUACCAGGACACUUAACUUACUGAGAGCCAUGUUGCCUGGCCCAGAAGGCUGAUCCUUGUAAAGACUAGUGUUGGAGUUCCGUCUAGGGCUUCCUCCUAGUUCAUCAUACAAAUACCUUGUGGCAAUUCUUCUAUUUUAAAGGGUAGGCUGAUUGACAAGCCCACCUCACCAAACAAACAAACAAAAAAACAAUGAAACCAACAAACAAAAAACAGUGGUUUCAUGUGAAAUGUGAUAUGGAACAGUUUUUGAGAGCUGUUCCAUUCCCUUAAUGACUGGUUGUCUCAAUUGUUGGGGGUUUGGAUCAAAAUGAGAUUUCCUGGAAAUCUUUAUCAUUUCCCCAGAUUUUUACUGCUGCAGUAUGUCUUAGCUCCCCCUACCUCCAACCGCUACCCCUUGGUCCCUUUUCUCCACUCGUCAUUCCCACAUUUCUUUUCCUUUUUGUUCUUUUUUUUUUUUUUUUUGCAUAUCAGAGGAAGCAUACAUCCCAUAUUUGUGCAUCUAAGUUAUUUGUGGAUGUUGGUGUGUAGGUUUUUUUCUAGAUGUGUCCUCAUCUGGCUUUGGUAUGUGUGCAAUGGUGGCUUUAUAAAUUUGGAACGUGUUCAUCCCUUUGUAUUUCAUGGAGUAAUUUGAGGUGUUUUGGCAUCAGUUCUCCUUUAAAGGUUUUUGGUACACCUCAGCUGGGAGUCCAUCCAGCCCUGGGUUUUUCUUUGCUAGAGACAAUAAUUAAAAGCCUUCCAUCUCAUUACAACUCAUUGGUCUGUUUGGGUUUUCUUUUGCUCUUGAUUCAGUUUUGGUAGAUCCUAUUUAUCUAGAUAUGUAUUCAUUUAUUCUAGGUUUUCCAAUGUAUUGGCGUACCAGUUUCAAAGUAGUCUCUAAUGAUCUGCUGGAUUUCUGUGGUAUCUAUGGUGAUUUCACCUUUUUAAUCUCUAAUUUUAUAAACUUGGAUUUUCUCUCCUUUUCUCUUGGUUAUGUUAGCAUUAUCCAUCUUGUUUACGUUUUCAAAGAAACACUGUUUCAUUGGUCCUUAAUGUUGUUAUUUUUUUAUUCCCAAGUGCAUUAAUGUUGGCUCUGAUCUUAUUUCCUUCCUUCCUUCAGUGUUUGCUCCUCCACCAUAGCCUGGCUUUUACACCAUUUCCCAUUUACACGGUGCAUGAUGGGGGCUUCCUCAGUAGAGGGCGCUGAAGUGACACUGCAGGAAGCAGAGGCCUCUUGUGGUUAAGCUACUGCACCAUUGCUCUGUGAUGCUGGUAUGAGUCCAUGUGAGGGCAGCCUGGAUCAGGUGAGGGGAUUCUCAGAUCCUGAGGAAGGCUUUGGUCUCCAGGAAAAUUUUCCAACCCUUUCCAAGCUGAUCUUAGGUGAUGGUGCCCUCCUAGUGAAUGGUCCAACUGUAGUGGGAGGUACUGACUCUGAGUUCAGAACUUGGCAGUCCCUGGCUCUACCCAUGCCCACCUGAGUGGUAACACAACAACCACACUGCCUUUACCGGGCGCAUAUUCCCAAGGGUCCCCCAUGCCUUUCUGUUCAGAGGAAGCUGUGAGAGCCAUGGAAGCUGCUCCCACAGGUAAGGAAGUUUCAGGUGGGCUGAGGGAAGGACAUGCCUGGCUGCCCCUACAUGUGCUCACCCAUGCCCACCUGCUUGUCCCCCAGGGGUGAAGACCUGGCACAAGGCAGAAGAUGCUGCAGACUACUGAAGAUGCUGCAGACCUUGAAGAAAAAGGGAGAAGAUGACCAAGAUUCAUCAAUGGAUGUGUCCUGUCUACUGGAAACCUUCAGAGCACUCAUCCUCCAGGAGCCAAGGAAUGGCCUGGUUCCUGUCCUGCAAAGGGGAACACCUCCUAUGGCCAUGAAUUUUUAUAUUCCUACCCAAAUCGGGUUAAUCCUCAGAAGGUGCUGGAGCUGCUGUGUAGUAAAAGGUCCAGCACCACCCCAAGUGAUGUAAUUGCCUCCAGCAGCCAUGGCCUAAUUUACCUGCUUAUAUUUUUGGAGCAUAUUAUCACAUUCCCUGUGAAGGAGGAGGAAUAGCCCUGAAAACCGAAGUUGGCCCUACACCAGCACUGAACACACAGGAAGAUAUGGAGCCAUGAGUGGCCACUGUAAACAUUCAGGAAGAGGAGACACCUUAGCUACAACUAAGCAAAUCAUGGCUCACCAUCCUCUUAUUCUCCAAGACACACUAUUGAAGUAGAACCAUUAAUAAAUCAGUAAUGGUCUGUACUAUUUAAAUAAAAGGAAGAGUCUUAUGCUUUGCACUUCACAUAAAAAGCUGUGCAUCUUGCACUACUUUGUCACACUGAGAAUGCAAAGGAAAUGUUCAUGAAGGAAAUUAAAGGGCUGCUCCAGGGCAUAUGUAAAUGACAAAAAGGAAAUAACAGCAUUAUUUCUCAUUCGGAAAAAAACUUUUCAUAGUGUGGAGAAAAGAAGAAACGACCCACGUUCCAUUCAGCCAAAGCCAAAUCCAGAUAAGGCCAUCACGUUACAUUGUUCUACUGACGAGAGAAUUGAGAAAGCUGCAGAAGAAGUUUGAAGUUGCCAGAGUUUGUUUGAUGAUGUUCUUGGCAAGAGGCUCCUCUCCAUAAAAUAAAAGUGCAAGGCAAAGAAGCAAGUACUGAUGCAGAAGCUCUUGCAAGUCAUCAAGGAGGUCUUGCUAACCUAUUUGAUGAAGAUGUUUUGUGGGUUAGGUAGUAGGUGUCCCCAGAAGCUCACAGGUGAGCCAAUGCAAGGUUUAUCAGUGAGAUGAUUCAGUUUUGAGAUCAGUGAGUUAAUCCCUUGACAGAAAUAAACAGGCAGCAGGCAUGGAAGGGCAUGUGAUGGACCCUUCCCAAGCCUGGGGGUGCAGGUGGCACCUGUGGAAGUGUCCAGUGGCUCUGAAAUAAGUCUGGUAUCCAGAACUGGAGCCUACAGAGGCCAGCCUUAGCAUUCCACAGCAGAGUUCCACAUUGGAGUUUCCCAGUGACCCGGAGCAGUGCAGGAUUCUGUAGCAGGAGCAUCCAUCUGUGAGGAGGAUGUCAAACAGGAGUCCCAUGGCAGUUUGGGGAGUCCAGAUGUAUCAGUGGCAGGAUGGAGACUUGGCCUCAGGCUUGGAGGACAGCCACGAGCAGGAACCAGGACAGUGAAGCCUUGGUGUUGGGCCUCUGUGGAUGUCAGUUUCUGGAGUUCAGUUAUGGCAGCGGUGGCAAAGGCAACUGAGGAGUCUGGAGGUGGUGGCAGCAAGCCAGGCAUCCAGACAGGAGCAUCCUCAUCCUCUGGUGGUGGUGGGAGUCUGUUCCCAAUGCAGUGGUGGUGGCCGCAGCAUUACUGGUGGCUAUGUGGGGACUCCAGUGGCCACAGUGUGGAGCUCUGGUAGCGGUGAUGGUGACAGCAUGGGACAGUGGGCCUCAGAGUCAGAGGGCAACUGGAGGCUGUGAUGGUCUCUGCAGUGGCUCCCCCAGGUGACUGGUCUUGCUUCUAGUAGAACCUGCCUGCUCAGGAAGCAGGACAUAGGAGCUGGUGGUACCCAGACAGCUGCUGAGGUCCUUAUACUGACCAGGCCAGCCAUGCCUGGCAUUGGCCUUGAGUCCACCAGGCAGCUGCUCGCCUGAUCCUUGAGUCCCUCCCAGGGUUGUAGCCUCUAAGGGGUGAGUAGGCCAUCUUCCAGCUGGGGAAGCCUUUGGAGAGGACACCCACCCUCCCCAGGCACAUCUCCCCUGGGCUGUGGCAGCAGAGUGCAGAGGUGGGAGGUGGGGGGGCCUAGAAAAUCCUCACCCUCCAAGGGCAUCCUGGGGCAGGACAAGAGUGGAGGGCACAGGUGGCAGAGGGAGCCUAAGGGUGCAGACCCUCUGUCUUGGUCUUCUGCUGCCCUUAGCCACAGAAAUGUGCUUUGGAGGUGAAGAUGUCCUAGGACCUCUGAUCUCUGUCCCCACAGUCCAUGCAGGAUGUGGCUGGGGACAGUGGGGUUCUCUCCUAAGGCCACCUCAAUCUGGCAGACAGCCUAGUUCCUCAGUAGAAGCUGUACCAGGGCAUGAGGUGAAGAGGAACCAAGUGGGCUCAUGGCCAGAGCGAGGCAUGGCAGCUGAGGGCAGAUAAGUUCCUGGAUUGCUGCCUGGGUACUGUGGUCUCCCAUAUGCUUCUUCCUGAGCAGGCCAAGUCCACCAGGAGAAAGACCAGGGCCUGGAGCUUCCAGAGGCCAUCUUAGCUACUGGUCACCUUCUCACUCUGAUGCCCACUAUCCCAUGCCCUCACGACCACUGCCAGCCUGGAGCUCUUUGCUGUAGCCACCCAGAUUCCCCACAUGGCCACUGGAUGCCACAUUCACCACCCUGCAGCCGGACCCCAAUUACUGCUGCAGGAAUGAGAUGCUCACUGCUGGACACUGCCUGUUGUUGCUGCCCCUGCUUCUGGGCUCUUCUGGUGCCACCACCAUCGUGCAGCAAUUGAACUUUCAAACUCCAGCUGGAUUCUGACGCUGCCCACCAAGGACCCAACGUCACUGCACUUCACCCCAAGCCUGAUAUCCGACCCCUAUACUGAGGACCCCUGAUGCAGGUGCAUGUUGCUCUCACCCCUGCCAGACUUUGAAGCUCCACCCUGCUGUCACCAGACUUUAACAUGGACACCAGACAGUGAUGCUCAGCACUGGAUGCCAACUUUAUUGCAACUGCAGCCAGACUCUUGUCACUAUGGCAGGAUGACAACCCUCAGGACUGGAUGCCUCUGUUUUCACAACCACUCUUUCUGGAUCCUUCCACAGUCACCGCCAGCAUGAGUAGGAAGCAAGCUUUCUCUCCUUAAUUUGCACCCUUUAAGCUGAGCAUCAGGAAGAAGGAAACACCUGACAAGCUCAAGGAUCAGAAGGACACCAACCCUUCUCAAGUCAUUCUGGAAGCUGACUAGCCUGCAUGUGCCCAAAGCUAGAGGAAACAUCAGCCCUGCUUCAGCCACUGUGGGCUGGAUGAUCCACACAAGGUGUAAGAUAAACUCACCAACAGGAAAAUGGACUGUUUCUCCCUCUAAGACAGCUCUUAUACUCUCAUUGCCACCACUUACCUCUUUCAUAUACACAGUCCUUUCUUUUCUCUUGACUCUAGGACUGAUAACAAUCAAACACAUAGUUAACACUAUCAGAAAACUACCACAUGUACCAGUUCAAACCUGAAAGGGUAUUACGGUUGGCAUCCAAGCUCACUAGUUGGUGGAUGGUUUCCUGUUCUUGAUGGAUUCAAAUCUUAAUUGACAUAGCAGGGAUUAUGCUAUGAACUUGUUCAUUGCUUCCAUGUUUGCUUCCUCUUUACAUUACAACUAGUGGGUCUACUAUAGAAGCAGCUGUUAAAAAAAAAUAUGAUGUGACAUUAUAUAAAGCUUAAAGCCAAGAAGAUAAUAAUGCUUUUUGACUUAGAGGAUUAAAUAGUGAGCAUCAAAGGGGGUAAUGAUGUACCCCACAGAAGACCCCCAUCUUCAUUGUAAGAUAUAAGCCUCUCUCCUAGUCAAGGAGAUAAUUGUUUAAGAAGUGAGCAGGAUUUCUAGAGAACUUAUUGUGCUUUGCGCUCCUCUUUGUUGUGAAGGCCGGGUUUCUUGUAAAGGCCUGCAGGGCUGGGGUUGUGGUCAGUGACAGAGCACUUGCCUAGCAUAUGUGAGACCUGAGGUUUGAUUCUUGGCACCACCAAAAAACAGAAAAAAAUUACAUGUAUUAUUCUCAUCUACAAUUUAAAAAAAAAGGUCUCCAAUCAUGUGUGUUGAUGUGCAAAAGAUCUGUUUCCAUAGUAAAAAAAUUUGAAACCUCUUUCCAACCAAAGAACGUGGAACAAAAUGUAACUGUUAUGUUAACCAUUGUAUUGUACAACCACCAACUGAAUUCUCUGAGAAU
This is a long non-coding RNA of Marmota monax (woodchuck), 10431 nucleotides long. RefSeq lists it as uncharacterized. The record is from RefSeq and is a predicted model, not a curated record. The transcript is spliced from 5 exons. Lineage: Eukaryota; Metazoa; Chordata; Mammalia; Rodentia; Sciuridae.